CACUCCCUGCCUGCCAAUCUCCUCCGGGUUAGGGCCUCUCUCUUUCCAUUCUUGCGAGCUCCCCCUACUUGAGAGCUCCAGGAGGCCCAGCCUUCCAGAAUCCGAUCUCCUUCCGACAUUGCAGCCCCCCUGCGGAGGAAGGAAGAGGCCUCCUCGGAAUGAAUGACGGGAGAGACCUGAGAAGGGGUCCGUGGAGAUGUCAUCGUCUGAUGACAGCCACUUAAGGAGUAGAAGACUUGACAUGUGAGUUGCCCUUGGUCACCCAGUUAACAGGGAAGGGGGUUAACAGGGAAGGA
This 296-nucleotide long non-coding RNA is filed under the name Sus scrofa (pig). RNAcentral describes it as "lncRNA (ENSSSCG00015038555.1)". The record is from RNAcentral. Lineage: Eukaryota; Metazoa; Chordata; Mammalia; Artiodactyla; Suidae.